UGCCUGUUGUUUUGGAUGGCUGUGUUUCUGGUGCAUGUGAACCUUCGAUUACCCAUGACUAGAUCCACACUCAUCCACAGCAAGCGGCC
Non-coding RNA from Zootermopsis nevadensis, 89 nucleotides. Lineage: Eukaryota; Metazoa; Arthropoda; Insecta; Blattodea; Termopsidae. The record is from Rfam.